RNAcentral lists this long non-coding RNA (33134 nucleotides) under Brassica napus (rape). RNAcentral's name for it is "long non-coding RNA (BNAP_LNC000159)". Lineage: Eukaryota; Viridiplantae; Streptophyta; Magnoliopsida; Brassicales; Brassicaceae. The record is from RNAcentral.
CAACACCGGCCUCUUCCUCUCCUCCACAGGACUCUCCUCAUCUACAACUACUUCUUCCUUCUCCGCCGAUCUCAGCAGCGGUUCUUGAACCCGUCCUUCCACGUCUUGUUCUUCACCGCGGUUCAAGCUUCGUAUGAACGAGUGGAAAGGUAUGGCGAUCGGAGAGAACAAGAGGAAGAGAAGUACGGAGGCAAAAACGACCGAGAACACUCCGGUUUUGAUUCCGAUGAUGUCGUAAGACUGAAGGUACACAGCCACAACGACGGCUAGGAUGUUGAACACGGCGAAGUAACGCGUCUCUUCGCUCUCCUCGUCGGCGGAGGAAGCCGGAGGGAUCUCACGGAGGAAGAAAACCGCCGUGAGACAGACAGCGAAAGGCACGACGGCGAGUAAAACGAGAAACGACGCCGGAUCGUUUGAGAAGAGAGCAGUGCAGAGAUCGGUGAAAAUAGCCGUGCUUAGACCGACGUAUCCUUUCAAGAUCCCCGGGAAAAUGCAUCGCCGGCGCCGGAGCACAUGGUUCUUGGAGGCGCCUGGGAAAUCGUGCCUGGGAGAGAUAAUCUUCGAGUUUUACAUUCAAUUAUAUGACAAAAUAUAUGAACAAAAUCUUGAAAAGUUUAUGCUAGUGUGCGGUGACUCUGACUACAAGUACAACAUUGUAUCAUGAAUGAAACCAAUAUAUUUUUCAUGUAAAAAACAUCAGUAUCUCAAACUAAAAAAUCGUGAUGAACAAUCUAGUGCAAUCUAACUAGAACAAUUAUUAACUAAGGUCACUGCCAGAACUUUUGGCCUUUUUGCUAGCGUGAAUCUUAGCAUAAAUCUCCUUUGUCCUAUAAGCCAACAGAAUAUCUAAACCGACUCCAAUAAUAGAAGCUGAAGCCAUCACCAAGAAGAUGAGACGGUAACAAUGAGCUCCGACGCAAGUGUUGCCCCCACCAGGAGUUGGUGUAGCCUCUGCAUCGUAGAGGAACCCAGCGAGAAGACCAGAGAAGAGGAACGAGCCGAGUGGCAAGUUAAGUACUAAGAUGUUGUAGAUGAGACCAUAGUAUUUGAGACCAAAGAGUUCUGAUGCUGUGGGUACGGUAAUAGCUAGACGGACACCAUAACAAACUCCGACCACCAUUGAACCGAUGUAAAGUGAAUUGGGGACAGCUAAAGCCAUUAGUAGAUACCCUACAGCCAUGAGGAUUUGAGAUGCUGCGUUCCAUAGUGGUCUUGGUGUUCCAGCUUUCCUAUAGAAAUCAAGAGUAAAAUUCACACUAUUUGUUCAGUAAAGUUAUUAAAUCAGCACGCUGAUAAUGAUCUUCUCUCUUUUUUGUUGAUCAUGAAAAAUCUAUGCACGUAAAUAGUUUGUAAACAUCUUAAAGUUUGUAAAGAAUCUAGAGGGGGACAUUCACGUGGUGAGGAAUUAAACAGUGUGGUCCUAAUAAAAAGAGCAAGAUCGCUGGAUUUGGACUUAUCUAUGCACAAGAACAAAAAACUAUUGAAAUGAUCAAACAGAGAAAUCUAAAAGAUCUGUUUUCUAUAAUUGAAAAGUCAAUAAGUGGAGAAAAAUGCAGACAAACCAUUGAUUGUGUGUCCAUGGGUGUAGAUGGGUUAUAGCUUUCUAAUUAAUGUUAGAACGGUAGUGAAAGCUUAACGAUAGCUCCGUACCAAAAAUACCAACCACAUGAAAAUAAAGUGAAUAGUAAGUUGCGGGCGGAUACAAUUGUAUGGAACAUAAAGUGUCGGCAAGUGCUAAUUGGAAGAUGGUGUGUAGAAACCUAACCAAAUAAUUAGACUUUUUGUCAACUUUGAAAAUAGUUAGAUAUUAAUCAAAAAAAAAAUUAGUAUUCACAAAAAAUAAUCAAAACUUAUUUAUGUCAAAAAAAUUAUUGUUACAAUUUCAAUGUAUUUCUGUUAUUAAUUAAUCUCUUUUACCAUUAUACUAAAUUUUUUAAAAUAAAAGCAAUAAAAUUUUAAUAGUUAAAUAAGGAUAAACUAAAUAUUAACUAUUUUCUUAAUAAGUACAUUUUGAUUUAUAUGCUUUUUCAAGAAAAUAACUUUAUCGGAAAUAACAAAAAAUUGAAAAGGUGACUGAAGUAGGAGGAGACUUACUUGAGAAAGUGUUCGGAGAGUGUACCGGAGAGAAUACGACCGAAGAAGCCCCAAAUACUAGUCAUGGAGACGAAGAUCGAGACGUCUGUGUAACCAAGUGCAAGCCCAAUCUGGCCCAUGUUGUUCAUCACUGCCAACCCAGUCCCUACACCACACAAGAACGAGACGAACAGCACCCAAAAAUCCACCGUCAGCAUCGCUUCCAUUAUCGUGUGUUCUUCUCCCAACACCGGCCUCUUCCUCUCCUCCACAGGACUCUCCUCAUCUACAACUACUUCUUCCUUCUCCGCCGAUCUCAGCAGCGGUUCUUGAACCCGUCCUUCCACGUCUUGUUCUUCACCGCGGUUCAAGCUUCGUAUGAACGAGUGGAAAGGUAUGGCGAUCGGAGAGAACAAGAGGAAGAGAAGUACGGAGGCAAAAACGACCGAGAACACUCCGGUUUUGAUUCCGAUGAUGUCGUAAGACUGAAGGUACACAGCCACAACGACGGCUAGGAUGUUGAACACGGCGAAGUAACGCGUCUCUUCGCUCUCCUCGUCGGCGGAGGAAGCCGGAGGGAUCUCACGGAGGAAGAAAACCGCCGUGAGACAGACAGCGAAAGGCACGACGGCGAGUAAAACGAGAAACGACGCCGGAUCGUUUGAGAAGAGAGCAGUGCAGAGAUCGGUGAAAAUAGCCGUGCUUAGACCGACGUAUCCUUUCAAGAUCCCCGAGACCGGACCACGGUUUCGCCGGAAGUUUCGUAUGCAAGUAACAAGAACCGCCGUGUUCAUCCACGUCGUGCUGUUUCCUCCCAUACAGAGGAAUAUACACAUCUGAACAUUACAAACCCUCAGAAUCAAGAAUUGCGCUAGUAUAAAUUCAAGAAUAUUAUUUUUUUUUUUUUUAAUAAUAUUAUUUGUACCUGCCAAUAAGGGAGAGGGGUGAUGGUGCGGCUAACGACGAGCCAUUGUACACCAUAGCCAAGAAGACCUUCUAAAGAACCGAUAAGGAGGAUCACUGGAGUGGAAAGACGGUCCGAGGCGAGGCCAGCGAGGAUUCCAAAGGCUUUUCCGACGUCUUUAGCGACGGAGAGGUUGUUGAGCUGGAGCUGGUUGAGGUUCAUGAGUGACUUGAGAGCGCCAGAGUAGUUGGAGAAAGUGUAGUUGUUGCCGGAGAUGGACUGAACCCAAACCGCCGUCACAAAUCCAAGCCAUUUCAGUGCAGAAGAAGAAGAGGGAGAUCUCAGAAUGCCCAUUGUAGAAGAAAGAAGUUCAAGAAGAAGAAUGUGUUGGUUGUGGAGGUUAAAAUUAAGGGAGGUUUUAUAGAAGGGAAAGGGGAUAUCUUUUGUUUGUGUGAGUGUUUUUUAGUUUAAUUAAAUCGUUGUUGUUUUACAUUUUGUAAACAAUUGUUUUUUUUUUUAAUUAUACAAGUGGGGAAUGAGAAUAGAAAAGGUACGACGGCGACAUGUAGUACGGUUAAGAAGGUGUGCAAACCGUGGAUACAUCACGACAUGGAAUAUUUAAAAGACGGUGUGCUCAUAUUAUAGAUUUCUUAGUCGUUUAAAACAAUUAAAGUAGGUGGCCAACUAGGCUAUGUUGCUAGCCGUUGCUGCUUAGAAUGUUUGUUCCUCCAAAGCUUCAUGUUAGACUCCUAAUGCAUAUUGUGUAUGAUCCCAUCUAUACAGGAGAUGUAUGAUCAAAACAGAGCUAAAAUAGUUAAUAAAGUGCGACAUGAACUAUUACAGAGAAAAAUGUAUGACGUGGACUGAAUUAAGUGUUUUUCAAAGUACGAUCUAGGCCUGGACAUUUUAUCUGAUACAUGAACCCGUACCGAAACUCGAAAUGAAAAACCCAAGCCAAAAUCCAAACUAAAAUAGUAAAAUAUCUGAAUAUGAUAUAGAAUUAGGAGAGAUUGGAUAUUCAAGCUCAGACGGGUAAAAAUUGAACCCGAAUAGAUAUCCAAACAUAAUCGAGUAUAUAUAUACUAAACCCUCUAUUCCUAGUUUGCUUUUUUCGUUUUAUUCAAAAUAUUUAUAUUGAUGUUGCAUAUGACUCAAGAUCAGAUAAUAUACAUAUAAUUAUGGACAAAAUGAUUUACUACUCAUUUAAAAUGCAAGUCAAACUUCUUGUUUCAUGCAUUAACAAUAGUUGCAUCUAAAAUUUCAAAAUAACAAUUUUUAAAGUUUUAUCUCCAAAUAUAUAAAUAGUCUAACCUAUUAAAAAUUAAAAAAUCAGUUACGUUAAUGGUAAAUUUAUAAGUACAAGAAACUUCGGUAAUGAAAAAUUUGAUUUCUUUUUUCAAAGUCUAAAUAUCCAAAUCCUAUCCAAAAUAACCAAACCCGAGCGGGUUCCAGACUUCAAUACCUAUAGACCCGAAAUCUUGAAAUAUUCCGAUCCGAACUCAAACGGGUACCCAAAAUGUCAUGUCUAGUAGAGUCAAUAAAUAAAAAUUUACUUUGGAGCAUGUUAAGAGAAGUAGUAGAGAAAAAGAAAUCGACCUUGCAUAAAAAAUUGACUUCUUUGGUGGAUAACACAAAAUGAAAACUUCACAAACAGAUCGAGAUGAAGCCAAUUUAGUGGGGCAGAAUUGGAACACCCAACCGAAAAAUAUUUGAAAAAUCCAUUGAAAAAUCUAAGUAAAAAUUGAGUCAAAUUUUAACAAAUGAAAUGAAGAAAUACAGCCACUUUAUUGAUGAAAUACAAGAUUAAAUAUUGAAGAACUUAAUGGUGGUAAUGAUAUUAAAUGAAUCUAGUAUAGACAUGUAAUGGACAGUAUGAAGACAAUAUAUGGUAUUUAUAUUGGUUCUACGAAGGGUUAUAGCGCCUUGUCAUAUACACGAGAGAUGGUUAAAGACACUCAUGCGAGUGACUAGGAUAAAUUUAUUUUCGUAUCUAUACAAAAUAAAGAAGGCCGUUCGAUGUACAAUUACAAGAUUUUUUUUUUUUUUACGUCGAAAGACUAUUCUAUUACUCAAGUUUGAGGUGGUUUGGAUAACCAAAUCGGAAUAAAACAACCAAUAAAAUGUUACUCCCUAUGGAAGGAUCUAGCAGUCUUAGCUAAAAAGUCUGAAAUCUGAUUGCGCGCUCGUGGAAUAUGAAUGAUGUUGAAAUCCGGAAAGCAUAUUUGUAGCGUCUCUAUCCUCUCCAAUUCUGUCGCAAAGCUUGGCCAAGCCUGAGGUUCCUUUAUCAUUAUAAUCAGUUCCUUAGAGUCUGUCCCGAAGCUCUGGCAUGUUGAAUGUUGAAGCAUAUAUUCUCCAUCGCCCAUCGCAGUGCUUCUACUUCCGAAUGCAAAACCUGAUUUGCGUCGAGUGAAAUUUCUUGUCCCCAUAAGUUGAAUGUUCCCAUAACUGUCCAUCUAGAGCCAUCCACAUUCACUAAAGUGAGCAGAGGAUGUCCAAGAUCCAUCUAACAAGCAAAUAUUACCCAAGCUUAUGACUUGGGAUUCGUCAAUAUUGUUAUCUUGUAUCACUGGUUGUACCACUUCGUUGGCAUCAAACCAGGCUUGGCAUUCACUUCAUGCAUGUCGAACUAGCUCCAAAGGAUCUCUAUCUACCCCCUAAAAACUUUGUCAUUUCUAGCAUUUCAAAUAUACCAUAUUAUCCAGGAAUAAGGAUUUAUAUCUUGUUCUGACUCGAUAAUGUUGUUUUUCCUCCAUAAUAGGUAAUCCAUAUUUGUGUAGAUGCUUGGUACUGGAAAUAUACAUGGGGUUCUUGGAGUUGAUAAUAAUGAUCAAACUUGGAGAGCUGACGGACAUUCGAAUAUGGCAUGGGUUACAGUUUCUUCUAGUUCUUCACAUUUUGGGCAGUAGUUGUCACACCUCAUAUUGCGUCUUGUUAAGUUCCUCGUUACUGUCACAUGACCAGUUAACAAUUGCCAUAUAAGAUGACAUAUCUUCAUAGGUGUCUUUAGCUUUCAAGCAAAGGCUUCGAGCUUAGUGAUGCUUGGUUCAAAAACUUCAUUUUCUUCCGCUGUCGUUAAUAAAUUUUGAGCCACCCAAUAUCCAGAUUUAAUUGUGUACUAGAUUUUGACCCGCGCAGGCGCGCGGGUGUAUAUUUUGAAAAAUAUGUUGAUAUUUGUUUUUCAUGUAAUUAUUAGGGUUUUACAAAAUGAAUCCAAGGAACAUAACCGAUACCGAUCCGAAAAUAUAGUACCAAACCCGAACAUAAAUUGAUUAAAUAUUCGAAUUAUAGAAAAUUUUGUUAUUUAGAGAACCAAACUGAUCCGAACCGAAGUAUUCGGGUACCCGAAUUUAUCUAAAAAUAGAUUUAUAUACUUAUAUAUAUAUUAAUUAUUUUUAGAUUUAACGUAUAUAAAACAUUAAGAAUGAUACUUUUAAAUUGGUUUAAAUACUUGAAAAUAUAUAUUUAUAUAGUCAAAAGUAAAUAUCUGCAAUAGUUAAAGUAUACUCAAAUCACCAAAAAUACUUUGAUUCCAUAUCCAAAAUUUUAAAUCAAUCCAAUUGAUAUGUUAAGCUUAGGUAUUCUGACAUAUGUUAUUCAAAUUUAUAGGUAAUAUAUUAUUUUAUUUAUAGAUUUUGAGAAAUUUAAAAUAGAUAAUGAUUUAAAACUUUAAAAAUAAUUUAAAUGGGUUAUCCAAAUGCGAACCAAACCCGCAAAGAUCCGAAUCAAACUCAAACCAAAAUUUAGAAACAUCCUAACAGGGCUUAAAUCUUUGACUCCGAAAACCCGAAACACAAACCGAUCAGAACCAAAUCCGUAUGGGUGCCCGAAAUCCCAUCCCUAUUCAUUAUUAUAUAUCGUAUACUGUCAUCAUAUAAUUAAUCGUAUUUUAUAUGUACCAUCAUAUAAGUAAUCAUAUAAUUAAUAGUAUUUUAUACGUACCAUCAUAUAAAUAAUUACAUAUAUUAUAUUUUUAAAACUUAAUAUGAAUAUAAAAACCACAAUUUGAGUUGGUAUUUCAAAUUGGGCUUUGUAUUGUAUUUUUAUUAUAUAUAUUGACAACAUUUUUUUAUAAUGGUUAUUGAAAAAUAGUUUAGUAAAAAUCCAUUUCUGAAUAUAUGUAUUAUUUUUUAAUCAAUUUUUGAUAUAAAUCAACUUUAAAUUAUUAUUUUGAUUUGAAAUAUGUGUAUAAAGUUUAAAUUUUGUUUUAUGGUUAGUUUAGAAAAGAAAAAGUUUUAGGCAAUUAGAUUGACCGUUUUCGUAUAUUUUAAAUCUGGCCCAAAUAGAUAGUUUCUUAUAAUAUGAUGGACUUUUAAUUUUUCUUGAUAACAUAAGCCCAUUACUUUUUUUUUCUUAAUACUACUAUCUUUGUUUCCAAACAAAAUUAAUUUUUUUUAAAAGACUACAAUUCAUGUUUCUAAACACUCCAAUUUUUUUUAAUAGUCCUAUUCAAGUCUCCAAACACUCCAAUUUUGUACUUGAGUUUUAAUAAGAUAGAUUGGCCAUUCCUUAUAUAGUUUCAACAGGAUGUAUCACGAUGAUGAGUUGAGCUUAUAUCCAAGCUCCUUAUGAAUGGUAUGUCCUCCGGAUGUACAAUUACAAGCUUAAAUGUGAUAAUCAACAAUCGUUUAUAAAAUUGGUGUUAUUGGGAGUUGUAUUUUUAACCAUUUAACUCAUAACACAAGAUUUUGAAAAUACUACUUAAAUACCUUAAAUUUUUAGAAUCAUUAUAUCAAUGUAUUUUCAUAUAAUUUCACAAUAAACAAAAUUCUCCUAAUUUUUAAAAUCAACAAACUUUAUAUAAAUCUUACUCCUACUAACACCCCCUUGAGCAUUUAAAAGUUAUUUUGCAAGUUUUUUUUAGGAAACACAACUAAUAUUCCCACUCUAACUCCACUGGACUAUAAUAUUAAAAAUCUGACUAAAAUAUACUUUACAAGUGUAUACAUUUCUUACUCUCUCUAACCUCCGAAAUAAAAUUGAAAUUGGAUGUUAAUAAGAAUAAAAAAUUAUUUUUAAAAAAACAGGAAUAAGAUUGGAUCUGUCUUUGUAAAUAAAAUACAACCAACGCUGCAUUCCCCUUAAUUUGGAGGCAUUCUACAAGUGGCCUUAGAUAAUCUCGAAAAGCCAUUACGAAAAAUAUAGAUUUAUGAACAGCGAUAUCUUUCUUUAGGCAAUUUGUGUCGUCUAAUUUUUUAUAGAGCCAUGUUGUACUAACAUUGAGGGAAAAAAGGCAUCGCCCUGCUUGCUAGACAGAAUAAAACGUGGCAUAAUAGACAACAAAAAAAAAAACGUGACAUAAUAAAAAUGAUUGUACCUUUUUAAGAUCAAUAUAUUUAUGAAUCAAGAAGACAAAUAUAUCCAGCUGUUUUUGUACUCUAGACAAAUAAAAUUGAAAGUCAAUAAUUUGAACUAAACUAAAUUAUUUAUAGCAGAUUAAAAGAAGAAAAUGCUGAAAAUAAAACAAAAAAGAAAUAAAAUAAUUUUUGGACUUUUCUUUUCAAAUAAAAAAUGGAAACAUAUAAAAUAUCUAAAACAAAUUAAGUGACAUUACGAAAUAUCUCAUUGUAUUGCGGUCUAAUUCAAAACCUCUUUACUAUUAUUCCAAUAUAUAUAUAUACAAAUUAAUAAAUGUUGAAUACGAGUAUUUUCAAGAUAAAAUUAUAACUUUAUCUCAAAUCUGACACUAUUUUUUAAAUUUAUUUUUAAAUGUCAACUAUUUCAAUAAAUAUUUUAAAUAUAUUAUAAAAUACAAAAAUAUCCCUCAUAAAUAUUUUAAAAUUAUUUAUAAAAGUUUUAAAACACAAUCCCAUGCACCCACUAAAUACUAUAUCAUGAACAGUAACCACUAAAUCAUAGAUGCAAAUUUUAAAGUGUUUUUGAAAAAUAGUAUCCUAUUCAAUGUAUUUAAAACAUUUUUUUAUAUUUUCAAUGCAAUUUUAAGUUCUUUUAAGCUUUCUUUAGCCCAAAGAAGGUUCUAUAUAUGCCAACUAUCUUUAUUUGUUAGUGGAGGGAAAGAUCACUAAUUAAGUAAUUUAAAAUGUUUUAAAAAUUGUGGAAAAACAGAAACAUAUUUGUAAGAGAAAUCAGAUCAUAUAACCAUACCAAUAUCAAAAUUUAGUAAAUGACCAUAAUAAGUCAUGUGCUAUGAUAAAUUUUGUAUAUAUUAUGUAUUAAUUUCUAUAUUACCUUCAUGUAUGUUGAUUAAUCUUUUUUUUUCUUACAUGUUUCCUCCCAUUUGUUUAAUUACUUAUAUUCCUUUUGAUCUGGUGUUGAGAAACUCUACGAAUUAAUCUUAAGAAAUGUUAAAAAUUUAUGAAAAAAUCAAUAGAGAUAAACAAAUAUUUACAACCUUAAGAUAUGUAUUUAUACUUUUCAAAAACUUUUUUUCCUUUUUACUAUAUUUUACUGGUGCGUUAAAAUUUAAAUCACUAUUAGAAUCAACAUUUAGUAAAUGCAGUCAAUCACCGCAAGUUUAUUAUAAAUUUUACCAUAAUAGACCAUUUAAUAUAUUAUUGAUAAGAAAUAUAUGAUCUGUUAUUUGUGUUUCAAAUCCUAUUUCAUAUGUUCAUUUUCAAGUUAGAUUCAACAAAGUAUAUAGAAAUUGAUAUAUAGUUUGGCAUAAUGUGGCAAAACUCUAUUGACUAAACCUUUUCCGAUUAUGGAAAUAAAUAAGAACAUAUAUGAUGAAUAAAAAUAUGCAAUUUAAUCAAGUGGCAAUGGUCUAGUGAUUCUUGUUUUAGGAGAAAUUGCUCUAUAUGUGUAAGUUCAGAGAUCAAUUUUCUUCAAAUGUGAAAUUAUUUAGCUAUUCACAUUUGACUAGUCCAUAUAGUAACUUGUUUUACACCUAUUAAAAAAACAUGAUGAAUUGACUAUUUGAUAGCAAUAUUCAUCUUUGGGAGAUUAAUCGGGUGAUAAAUGUCCAUAUCAGUUCUUAUAUUAAUCGGGUGACAAGAAACGAUGCAAGUUGUAGUUUGUAAAUAAUAUCAUCCAAAAGAAAUUAAUUAAUUAUAAGGUGGUAGGGGUAAAUAGAUUGACAAAGACGGUUGUUAUCUUCUGAGCCAUUCAAUUGAUUUGCCGGAGAAAUUAUCACAAUUUUGGUUAUCCCAGUUUCUCAAAAACGAGCAAACCGUGAACCGGUUCUCAAAUAAUAUACUCCAUUUUUUUCAAAAGUGUUCUCAAUUAAUAAAAUUAUUAAAUUUUUUAUUUGAUAUAAAUUUUUAGUUUUACUAAUUAAUGAAAUAAAACAAGGGUAAACUAUAGAAAAAUGUUUAAAAAAUGCAUUGGAAAUAUAAAAAACAUUUAUAAUGAAACAAAAUUUAAAAACUAAAAUGACACUUAAUAUGAAACGGAGGGAGUCUAUGAUUUAUUUUUCUUUGGAUCUACUAAAAUUAAAUAUAUUAAUUCUUGUUUUUUUCAAAAAAAUAUAGUAAUUCUUUUCGACAAACAAAUAUAGUAAGUUUUAUAUUUUGUAAAAUCAUUGUGUUUAAAACAUUUCCUGUCAAAGGGUUUGGUUAUUAAAAAAAAAAAAAAAAUUACAACGGAAAAGAACCACGACCACAAAGGUCCUAGGACUGUAGGAGUAGAGAGAUGCGUUAACAAAAGAAACCCUCGAAAACUCAAAUUAUAGAGAGGAAAAAAGAAGGGAAGAAUCCAUUUCCUUUUUUUUUUGUCAAGUAGAGAGUACAUUUCCUAUCAGUGGCGAAGCACUUAGAGAGAAAAGAGAGAAAAGAGAGAAAACGCGUGGGAGGGAAGCACCGACGUACGGCGGCGCGUAUGCGCGCGUGCCGGCGCCGGUGGCUCCCUUCUUGUCGAUCCUUGCUAGGUUUUCCUCUGUGCGCGUCGAUCUGCUGUCCUAUCCGAUAUAUUUUCGGAUCUGGAAUAGGGUUUUAUCGUCGGAAGAGAUUUGUCUACGGAGGGUUUCAAACGGCGGUAAUCUCUCUUUCUCUGGAUUCGUGGUGAGGUAGUAGGACGCGGCUCGUCGCGACAGCUUGUUAGUUUUUUGGGUUGAAGUUAGGGUUCAUUCCGGGAGGCGGAGGCUCCGUUAGUUCCGCCGUCGCCGUUCAAGUUUCCGGGGGGUGGAGGCUUCUUCAGCUCUGCGUCGCCGGCAAAGUCUCCGGGAGGUAGAGGCUCUCUCAGCUCUGCGUCGCCGGAUCAUGCACCGAGGGGUGAAGGCGUCUUGUACCUUGCCUCGUCGGCUCUUGCUGCUUAAUUUUUAGAUUAGUUUUUUUAGGGCCUUUGUGGUUUGUUUAUGGCGUUGGUGAUGGUUUAGACCCGUGUGUGUUCUCUCGUUGGAGGAAGAGAGAAGCGUCCGUAUCAAGUUGGUGAUGUUUCUGUGAGCCGUGGUUGUUACUCUGGUGUGUGCUCGAACGGUGGUGGUGAUGAUCUCGCUCCGGCGAUUGAUCUCGCCGGUAAAGAUUUCUCUAGAGUACAAGACGGCGGUGGUGAAGAGUGUGUGUAGGUCAUGGGAUCCGGUUUGUCACAGUGAGGCAUGCUCCUGUAGUGGCCGGUGAGAAGCGUCCGAUCUCUGACGUAAGUGCUCCCGGUGGCGGCGACGUUUGCGGGUUUGCUUCUCGAAGUAGUAUUUUAUAUGUACCAUCAUAUAAGUAAUCAUAUAAUUAAUAGUAUUUUAUACGUACCAUCAUAUAAAUAAUUACAUAUAUUAUAUUUUUAAAACUUAAUAUGAAUAUAAAAACCACAAUUUGAGUUGGUAUUUCAAAUUGGGCUUUGUAUUGUAUUUUUAUUAUAUAUAUUGACAACAUUUUUUUAUAAUGGUUAUUGAAAAAUAGUUUAGUAAAAAUCCAUUUCUGAAUAUAUGUAUUAUUUUUUAAUCAAUUUUUGAUAUAAAUCAACUUUAAAUUAUUAUUUUGAUUUGAAAUAUGUGUAUAAAGUUUAAAUUUUGUUUUAUGGUUAGUUUAGAAAAGAAAAAGUUUUAGGCAAUUAGAUUGACCGUUUUCGUAUAUUUUAAAUCUGGCCCAAAUAGAUAGUUUCUUAUAAUAUGAUGGACUUUUAAUUUUUCUUGAUAACAUAAGCCCAUUACUUUUUUUUUCUUAAUACUACUAUCUUUGUUUCCAAACAAAAUUAAUUUUUUUUAAAAGACUACAAUUCAUGUUUCUAAACACUCCAAUUUUUUUUAAUAGUCCUAUUCAAGUCUCCAAACACUCCAAUUUUGUACUUGAGUUUUAAUAAGAUAGAUUGGCCAUUCCUUAUAUAGUUUCAACAGGAUGUAUCACGAUGAUGAGUUGAGCUUAUAUCCAAGCUCCUUAUGAAUGGUAUGUCCUCCGGAUGUACAAUUACAAGCUUAAAUGUGAUAAUCAACAAUCGUUUAUAAAAUUGGUGUUAUUGGGAGUUGUAUUUUUAACCAUUUAACUCAUAACACAAGAUUUUGAAAAUACUACUUAAAUACCUUAAAUUUUUAGAAUCAUUAUAUCAAUGUAUUUUCAUAUAAUUUCACAAUAAACAAAAUUCUCCUAAUUUUUAAAAUCAACAAACUUUAUAUAAAUCUUACUCCUACUAACACCCCCUUGAGCAUUUAAAAGUUAUUUUGCAAGUUUUUUUUAGGAAACACAACUAAUAUUCCCACUCUAACUCCACUGGACUAUAAUAUUAAAAAUCUGACUAAAAUAUACUUUACAAGUGUAUACAUUUCUUACUCUCUCUAACCUCCGAAAUAAAAUUGAAAUUGGAUGUUAAUAAGAAUAAAAAAUUAUUUUUAAAAAAACAGGAAUAAGAUUGGAUCUGUCUUUGUAAAUAAAAUACAACCAACGCUGCAUUCCCCUUAAUUUGGAGGCAUUCUACAAGUGGCCUUAGAUAAUCUCGAAAAGCCAUUACGAAAAAUAUAGAUUUAUGAACAGCGAUAUCUUUCUUUAGGCAAUUUGUGUCGUCUAAUUUUUUAUAGAGCCAUGUUGUACUAACAUUGAGGGAAAAAAGGCAUCGCCCUGCUUGCUAGACAGAAUAAAACGUGGCAUAAUAGACAACAAAAAAAAAAACGUGACAUAAUAAAAAUGAUUGUACCUUUUUAAGAUCAAUAUAUUUAUGAAUCAAGAAGACAAAUAUAUCCAGCUGUUUUUGUACUCUAGACAAAUAAAAUUGAAAGUCAAUAAUUUGAACUAAACUAAAUUAUUUAUAGCAGAUUAAAAGAAGAAAAUGCUGAAAAUAAAACAAAAAAGAAAUAAAAUAAUUUUUGGACUUUUCUUUUCAAAUAAAAAAUGGAAACAUAUAAAAUAUCUAAAACAAAUUAAGUGACAUUACGAAAUAUCUCAUUGUAUUGCGGUCUAAUUCAAAACCUCUUUACUAUUAUUCCAAUAUAUAUAUAUACAAAUUAAUAAAUGUUGAAUACGAGUAUUUUCAAGAUAAAAUUAUAACUUUAUCUCAAAUCUGACACUAUUUUUUAAAUUUAUUUUUAAAUGUCAACUAUUUCAAUAAAUAUUUUAAAUAUAUUAUAAAAUACAAAAAUAUCCCUCAUAAAUAUUUUAAAAUUAUUUAUAAAAGUUUUAAAACACAAUCCCAUGCACCCACUAAAUACUAUAUCAUGAACAGUAACCACUAAAUCAUAGAUGCAAAUUUUAAAGUGUUUUUGAAAAAUAGUAUCCUAUUCAAUGUAUUUAAAACAUUUUUUUAUAUUUUCAAUGCAAUUUUAAGUUCUUUUAAGCUUUCUUUAGCCCAAAGAAGGUUCUAUAUAUGCCAACUAUCUUUAUUUGUUAGUGGAGGGAAAGAUCACUAAUUAAGUAAUUUAAAAUGUUUUAAAAAUUGUGGAAAAACAGAAACAUAUUUGUAAGAGAAAUCAGAUCAUAUAACCAUACCAAUAUCAAAAUUUAGUAAAUGACCAUAAUAAGUCAUGUGCUAUGAUAAAUUUUGUAUAUAUUAUGUAUUAAUUUCUAUAUUACCUUCAUGUAUGUUGAUUAAUCUUUUUUUUUCUUACAUGUUUCCUCCCAUUUGUUUAAUUACUUAUAUUCCUUUUGAUCUGGUGUUGAGAAACUCUACGAAUUAAUCUUAAGAAAUGUUAAAAAUUUAUGAAAAAAUCAAUAGAGAUAAACAAAUAUUUACAACCUUAAGAUAUGUAUUUAUACUUUUCAAAAACUUUUUUUCCUUUUUACUAUAUUUUACUGGUGCGUUAAAAUUUAAAUCACUAUUAGAAUCAACAUUUAGUAAAUGCAGUCAAUCACCGCAAGUUUAUUAUAAAUUUUACCAUAAUAGACCAUUUAAUAUAUUAUUGAUAAGAAAUAUAUGAUCUGUUAUUUGUGUUUCAAAUCCUAUUUCAUAUGUUCAUUUUCAAGUUAGAUUCAACAAAGUAUAUAGAAAUUGAUAUAUAGUUUGGCAUAAUGUGGCAAAACUCUAUUGACUAAACCUUUUCCGAUUAUGGAAAUAAAUAAGAACAUAUAUGAUGAAUAAAAAUAUGCAAUUUAAUCAAGUGGCAAUGGUCUAGUGAUUCUUGUUUUAGGAGAAAUUGCUCUAUAUGUGUAAGUUCAGAGAUCAAUUUUCUUCAAAUGUGAAAUUAUUUAGCUAUUCACAUUUGACUAGUCCAUAUAGUAACUUGUUUUACACCUAUUAAAAAAACAUGAUGAAUUGACUAUUUGAUAGCAAUAUUCAUCUUUGGGAGAUUAAUCGGGUGAUAAAUGUCCAUAUCAGUUCUUAUAUUAAUCGGGUGACAAGAAACGAUGCAAGUUGUAGUUUGUAAAUAAUAUCAUCCAAAAGAAAUUAAUUAAUUAUAAGGUGGUAGGGGUAAAUAGAUUGACAAAGACGGUUGUUAUCUUCUGAGCCAUUCAAUUGAUUUGCCGGAGAAAUUAUCACAAUUUUGGUUAUCCCAGUUUCUCAAAAACGAGCAAACCGUGAACCGGUUCUCAAAUAAUAUACUCCAUUUUUUUCAAAAGUGUUCUCAAUUAAUAAAAUUAUUAAAUUUUUUAUUUGAUAUAAAUUUUUAGUUUUACUAAUUAAUGAAAUAAAACAAGGGUAAACUAUAGAAAAAUGUUUAAAAAAUGCAUUGGAAAUAUAAAAAACAUUUAUAAUGAAACAAAAUUUAAAAACUAAAAUGACACUUAAUAUGAAACGGAGGGAGUCUAUGAUUUAUUUUUCUUUGGAUCUACUAAAAUUAAAUAUAUUAAUUCUUGUUUUUUUCAAAAAAAUAUAGUAAUUCUUUUCGACAAACAAAUAUAGUAAGUUUUAUAUUUUGUAAAAUCAUUGUGUUUAAAACAUUUCCUGUCAAAGGGUUUGGUUAUUAAAAAAAAAAAAAAAAUUACAACGGAAAAGAACCACGACCACAAAGGUCCUAGGACUGUAGGAGUAGAGAGAUGCGUUAACAAAAGAAACCCUCGAAAACUCAAAUUAUAGAGAGGAAAAAAGAAGGGAAGAAUCCAUUUCCUUUUUUUUUUGUCAAGUAGAGAGUACAUUUCCUAUCAGUGGCGAAGCACUUAGAGAGAAAAGAGAGAAAAGAGAGAAAACGCGUGGGAGGGAAGCACCGACGUACGGCGGCGCGUAUGCGCGCGUGCCGGCGCCGGUGGCUCCCUUCUUGUCGAUCCUUGCUAGGUUUUCCUCUGUGCGCGUCGAUCUGCUGUCCUAUCCGAUAUAUUUUCGGAUCUGGAAUAGGGUUUUAUCGUCGGAAGAGAUUUGUCUACGGAGGGUUUCAAACGGCGGUAAUCUCUCUUUCUCUGGAUUCGUGGUGAGGUAGUAGGACGCGGCUCGUCGCGACAGCUUGUUAGUUUUUUGGGUUGAAGUUAGGGUUCAUUCCGGGAGGCGGAGGCUCCGUUAGUUCCGCCGUCGCCGUUCAAGUUUCCGGGGGGUGGAGGCUUCUUCAGCUCUGCGUCGCCGGCAAAGUCUCCGGGAGGUAGAGGCUCUCUCAGCUCUGCGUCGCCGGAUCAUGCACCGAGGGGUGAAGGCGUCUUGUACCUUGCCUCGUCGGCUCUUGCUGCUUAAUUUUUAGAUUAGUUUUUUUAGGGCCUUUGUGGUUUGUUUAUGGCGUUGGUGAUGGUUUAGACCCGUGUGUGUUCUCUCGUUGGAGGAAGAGAGAAGCGUCCGUAUCAAGUUGGUGAUGUUUCUGUGAGCCGUGGUUGUUACUCUGGUGUGUGCUCGAACGGUGGUGGUGAUGAUCUCGCUCCGGCGAUUGAUCUCGCCGGUAAAGAUUUCUCUAGAGUACAAGACGGCGGUGGUGAAGAGUGUGUGUAGGUCAUGGGAUCCGGUUUGUCACAGUGAGGCAUGCUCCUGUAGUGGCCGGUGAGAAGCGUCCGAUCUCUGACGUAAGUGCUCCCGGUGGCGGCGACGUUUGCGGGUUUGCUUCUCGAAGUAGGGCGAACCGCGAGUCGGCGAGUUUGGGUUUGAGGAUAUCGGAUUUGGGCCUAAGCGGGUUGGUUUUUUUAAGUUGGGCUUUGUGUUUGGGCCUUUUGGUCUUUGUAACUCUCUUUGGGCUUCGGCCUUUUUGCUAAUAUAAUUCAGUUGGAAAAAAAAAAAAAGAGAGUACAUUUCCUAUUAAAAGAUGUUUGGAGAAGGCAUCAAAGAGUGUACCAAAGAUCUUGAGGCAACCCAUUUUUAAAACUCGACUAAGUCUCUUUGAAUAUGAACGCAAUAAUCUAGUUUAUUAGACAGAACUAGCAUUCCCACAAGAAUAAACGCAAUAAUCAAGAUUGCGUUUACUACAUUUUUUGCCUUCUAAAUACAACUAACAAUUCGUACUCAAUUCGUUAGCUUACGAUAUCAAAGAUUGGACGUUCAUAAGAAAAAAGAAAAAAAGUUAUCACUUAACGAGUGUACAAAUUGGUUUCCUCUUCCUCAUCCUAUAAAAGUACGGGCAAGUGUUUUUUUUUAUAGUUAUGAAGUGUAUGGUACAACGUGAAAAGGACUGUAGCUUGUUUCCUUCGAUUUGAAAGCAAUUUACAAGUGGCUUUAGACGUUCACCAAACGCCGUUAAUUUCUAAAAGCUCUAUGAGAGCAGAAAAAUGCUUUUCAACAGCAUGCAAAUUGUUUAAGAAACCAUGUUGCAACUAAGGUCAAACAAAUAAUAAUAAAAUAUCACACCGUAUCUAAUCAAAUCUUAAUGCUUGACCGAGUCACAUGUGCAACAAUCCUUGCAACUCAACCUGCAUCAACAUCUUAAACUUUCACGAAUCAAAAUCACCCUAGUCAACAAACUUUUUCAUCUCACUUGUUCCAUUAACAGAUUCCAUCUUGAUCUAUAUUUCAAAAGACGAUCAAUAGCAACACAAAACUUUAAGCAAUACAGAUCAACCUUACAACCUCAAAAUCAAAACGGAUCAAACCUUUAUUCUCUACACCGAGAACCUGGCUUUGUUUGGGUAUUCGACCUAGUUUCUUCUUGAUAUUUUUUAGGUUCAAUAUUAGCUUGAUUAGGUUGAUUGAGCUGAUCUAAACUUAGCAAGUAAUAGAACUCAAGAAAACAAGCAUACACAUACGAGAUUUGUUCAUCCGGACUUUGUUUCCUACUAUCCGCAAAACUCUCGAACCUUGAUUAUUGAUUGAUGUGAUACAAAAGACUGAUACCUUGUAUUGAUUUCAGACUUGAAAUGAAUGUAUUCGGUUAACCAAAAAAAAUAGACCAUUUUUUCCGGUAGCUACAUGACACUAGCCUUUACAUAUUUAUUCGAGAUUAUUAUAUACCCGACAUUCUGCCCCAAACAAAAUUCCAUCGAAGUUUAAAACAAAUAAACCGAAACCAAACUACCCGAAUAAAAUCGAACCGAUUAUUUAAUUUGGUUUCAAUUUUCCAAUAACCGAAAUUAUCCAAAUCGAACCGGAGCUACCAGACUUGUCUAUUUUGAUUUUUCUUCUAACGAAAGGAGACUUUAGUCUGAUAAAUCACGCCCGUAAUAAAAUAUAUAGCUUCUCCGAGGAUUCGAUUCGAUUCGAUGAAGGCUGCUCGAGUCUUGGCGGCUGCGGCGGCGAGGGUUGGACCGGCUAUAAGGAAGCAAGUGUUAACCAUAACGGACGAAGCUGCCUCUAGGGUUCAUCAUCUCUUGCUCCAGAGGCAAAAACCUUUCCUCCGACUGGGCGUUAAAGCAAGAGGCUGCAACGGUUUAUCAUACACCCUCAAUUACGCAGGUAACCUCACACACAAACCAUUGUCUUGAUUUUUUUAGUGGAGAAGGCCCACGUUGCCUCCAAUGGGAUGUUUCUUGUUUUGUUGAAUACUCUAGAUGCUUGCCUAUUGCUAUGUUACACUCUGUUGAUCAUCACAUAUUGUUUAUAGACUCUGAUCAUGUGAUCAGAUGAGAAAGGGAAAUUUGAUGAGCUGGUGGAGGAGAAAGGAGUGAGGAUCCUUGUGGAACCCAAGGCCUUAAUGCAUGUGAUUGGAACAAAGAUGGAUUUCAUAGAUGAUAAACUAAGGUUUGCAAACUCUUGUCACAUUUUUAUUUCAAAACUGUAACAAUAUUUUUUUAAAAAAUAUUUCUGUUGUAUAAUUGCAGAUCAGAGUUUGUGUUCAUCAAUCCAAACUCGCAAGGUCAAUGCGGGUGUGGUGAAUCGUUCAUGACAACAUCUACUUCCUCGAGUGCUAAACAGAGUGGAUAGUGUUGGCUGCUGCACUAUCAUAUAGUAUUAUCACUUUGUUACUAUAUAAUCGGAGUCGUUGAUUGGAAACAAGUCCGGUCGUUGCUCAUAGAUAUUACUGAAGCUUGUGAUUUGUGGAGAUCAAUUAAUGUAUUCUUUAGAACACAAAGUUAUAAUAAAGUGUUGGAUUAUGUAAAAAGUAAUUGAUCUUAGAAUCAGGAGUUUUCGCUAUGUUGAUCGAUCUGUGGGUGGUUGUGGGAUCAAAAGCUGCCUCUUCAUAGUUGAUAUGUGUUCCAGUGAAGGAAGUUUUAAGGCAGGUUUUGGUUGAAGUUACUCUUUAACAUUCAGACAAAAGCGUAACUAAACAUAAAGAAUGGAAACCUGUAAUUUAUUUUGGAUGCAGUGUGAAUAGAGCUUAAUUUGUUUUCGCAAUGUAUAUGGUGACUUAGAAAGCUGUUUGAAUGAAGUAAAUGGAGAUACUGAUACCAAAGAUGAGAUUCUAAAGACAAACUUCAAGGAAAAAAAAAAGCUACAUAGACAAGCUCAUGCCUGUUGAUUUAAGACAAUACUUCAAUUACUCAAAAGUAAGAAAAAUCAAACAAGGUGCAGGAACCAACAUAAUAACAAGAUAAAAGAAAUAUUGCAUUGUAUCACAAGCUAACAACACCAAAGAACUUUCCACUCCUUAAUCGUUGAAGCUGAGUAACAGAACCAGGUCUCUUCUUCCUCCACCACCAAAAAGCCUCAACAGAAGCUACACUCACCACGACCGCCACAACGACCACCAGAAAAAGGGCCACCAACAUUAAGACUAGUAGGACCAUAUCCACGACCACGAACAAAAGGACCAAAAGGGCCAAAACUAGUGGUGGUCGCCUUUUUAGUAUUUGCUCUAUAAUUUCUCUGAACAGACUCUUCUUCAUCAUCAUCAUCAGAAGAUGAUUCAUCCACAGACAUGUUGUCUGCCUCGGCCGCCUUUACACUGCCAGUUUUCAUCGAGGCAGCAACUUCGUUAUUAUUUAAACUAACCGAUGAAAUCAACAUAUCCACUUUUUCUUCAAUCUCCCGAAGACGAUGAUCCACCUUCUCUUCGAUCUUUUGAAGACGAUGAUCCACCUUUUCUUCCAUCUUCUCAAGAAGAUCAACCAAUCCUUUCAACAUCUCUAUCACAUCAGGUGCUUUUUUCUCGGUUAUGUCUUUCUUAUGUUUCUCCAAAUCAUCUCUCGGCUCUCUGUUCACUACUUCCUUUAGAUGCGCCGUGGCCUUGAUCGCAUUCGAAGCUGCUCCAGACGGGGUGGCGGAUUCUUUAUCCAUUGAGAAUAUGAGAAGAGCGAAUCUAUAGGUUACAGGGUGAAAGUGGAGAUCGGCAAAAAAGACCUAGACGAAACUGGUAUUUAUAAAGAGUCUUUUAUUGAUGUAGCGUGCAUCCUAAGUCCUAUUGUAUUUUGGUUUUAAACCUUUUUAUUUUUUGAUGUAGCGUGCAUCCUAAGUCCUAUUGUAUUUUGGUUUUUAACUUUUUAUUGGUUGCAGCGUGCAUCCUAAGUCCUAUUGUAUUUUUGUUUUCUUAUUUACCUUUUUCCCCUUCUCGAUGAUUAUAUUGGUAUUUUCCUUUAUUACAUUACAAACCAAUUAUAUUGGUAUUUUCCUUUAUUACAUUACAAACCAAAUUUUGUUUUAUUCCAUUAUAAAUUUCCACUAGGUUAAAUUUUAUAAUUUAAGAUAUAAAAAAGUAGAUAAUUUGUAUGGAAAAUUAUGUCCUGAAAUAUGGAAACUUCAAUAUGCUGAAAUAUGGAAAGUUCUCCUAGCCCGUACAUAUUGUCGACAAGUGGUGCUUCUACCUUUUCAGUGGUUGACCUAGAAAAAUAUGAACCAAGCUUGGCACUCUCCUUGGUCUCCUGUCUUCUUUUACUAGACCCUUUUCUUGGCUUUUCUCAAAAUAUAUCUAUCUAUCUCUCUCUCUCUCUCUCUCUCUCUCUGUUCUCACCGACACUUUGUUCUAGCUUUUCUCACCUCUUUCGUUCUUCUCUGAUCAUAGCACUAUAGCAGUUAUAUUUUCAUUUACGAAAAUAUCAACAAAGUAAGGUCAAUUUUCUUUCUUUUCCUUAGAAGUAGAUGAGAGAAGAAGAUCAGCAUUUACCUAUAAGAAAAAGUCAGGUCCUUUAAUGUAAACUUUUUAUAUUUCUUCAUAUUUUGUAGUUCUAUUUUUGAUCAAUAUUUUGUAGUUCUAUUUGGGCCAAUCUAUCUGGUUUUAUGAGCCGUGUCAGAAGCAGAUACAAAAGCUGAUGGCACAUGGCAGCAAAACUAUCAAAUUUAUUUUGACCUAAAGACAAAAUUAUAUAAUAAAUACAGAUGAUUUAGGUGAUACUAUGUUGUCUGUUAAUGCUCAUCGUGUAUCUUCUUUAAAACCAAUUUGCUUUUUAAUUAUCUCAAAAUGUCUUUGAAUAUUCAAGUGUCUCUCUCUCUUGAUUUUGUGUUUGUUUGUAUCUGAUAGUAGUUGCAACAUAAGUUUUCUGACUUUUAUAUCUCUUACUUCCCUACAAAAUAGUAUUUUUAAAGAACAAACAUCUAGUCUCGAUUUAUGUUUAUUUAUAUUAUAGCGAAUAAGUCAUUAAUUCCUCUGUAAUUCGCAUUUCGUAUUAGUUCUUUGCACAUAGGAAGCAAAAGAAAAUGGCAUUGGAGAAAAACAAAAAUGUGGAUAAUGUGAAUUUGAAGCAGAGGAAUAUUGUCUUGGUUGGAAUUAAAAUUGAUGAAAGUGACAAAGAGGUAUUGCAAUGGACACUUGAAGAAGUUGCAGAAAAUGGAGAUUGUGUUGUUGUUGUUCAUUUUUGUUCAACUUCUCGUGAGCUCUUCUUCUCUUACUUGUUAAAUUUUAAUCAUUUAUAGUUACUCUUUAGUCUUUACUAAGUAUUUUUUUGUAUGGUUCUGAUUUAUGGAACUUGGAUGAUAUGAUUCAGGUCGUGCCUUGAAAAACAAGUCAUCAUUGGAUCGGUACUUAGAACUUUACAGUGAAUUCUACUCAACAAAGAAGGUAGCUUCACGUCUUUUUAUGGGUUUAUUUCGAGUAAAGACACGAUUCUUACCAUUGGGUAACAGAGAAUAUUUGGGGUUUGAGAACAGAUUGAGCUCAAAGGAGAAGUUUUGAAGGGAAACUCAGGACAAGGUGUUUUAGUUAAAGAGGCAAAGAGAUACAACGCUAUGUCGAUUGUUGUUGGAGUUAAACAUCAAAGAAAGUUAAGGUGAGAACUAAACACAGGGAGAAAAGUUUACUUAUAAAAAUUGAUAUUCUCUUACUAAUUUUUUAUAUGUUUUAUUAAGUCUUAAAGUAGCUAAAGGCUGCGCAAAAGAGCUUCCGCCAACAACUGAUGUUUUGGCCAUCUACAGAGGAAAUAUAUUCUUUAGACGUUCCAACUAUUACCAACCACCUCUUGGUUCGUUGGUUCUCUUACAUCAGAAAAAAAUUAUGUCUAUAUACCAUUCUUUAAACUGGUUGACCAGAAAUGAUUUUUGUUCUUCUUGCAGCUCAAAAUACAAGUCCAAGACCAAGUUCUAAGCUUUAUAAUGGGACUUUCAGACAAAGACAUCGAACUGAAAACCGAAGAAUCGACAGUUAAAAGCCGAGUUCUCGAGAUAACAAGCCAAGAGAGGAGGAGAGUUUCGGGUAGAUCGCUUUCUCUUCCACAUGUAGAGGUAAUGGACCAGAAACCAGGUUGGCCGCUGCUAAGAACAACCACUUUAGCUACUCCUGUGGUUCAACAUCAGACUCGAAAAGUCUCAGUUGUCAACUGGGUCAUGAGCUUGCCUGAACGGUUUCCAAAUCUGACUUCUCAACAAAGCUUUUGCGAUUCACAACUUAAAGACAUACUAAAGGAAACAAACAAAUGGUUUAGCUAUGAUGUUCUUAAGACAGCAACAUCUGAUUUCUCUUCAGGUACUAUCUUAUAAAUCUGUUUUUUUCUAUUCUCUAUGUCACUUUAUGUUCAUCUGAUUCUUGUUUUUUUCUUUUAUUACAGAGAAUCUAAUCGGGAAAGGAGGAUGUAACGAAGUCUAUAAAGGCGUUCUUGAAGAUGGGAAAGAAGUGGCGGUGAAGAUCUUGAAAUCAUCUGGUAAAGAAGCAGUGAAUGAUUUUAUUCAAGAAGUGAGAAUAAUCUCUUCUUUGAGUCACCAAAACAUCUCUCCUCUGAUCGGUAUCUGCGUUCACUACAACGACCUAAUCUCGGUUUACAAUCUCUCAUCCAGAGGAAGUUUAGAGGAAGCCCUUCAGGGUUAGCACAAUACUAGUCUACUCUUUAAACCAUCUUUGACACAACAUAUAUUAAGUAUGGUUUAUUUAAUUUCUGCAGGUAAGCAUGUAUUGGGAUGGGAAGAGAGAUUCCAGAUAGCUAUUGGAUUAGGGAAAGCUCUUGAUUAUCUUCAUAACCAAUGUUCUAAUCCUGUGAUCCACAGAGAUGUUAAAUCUUCCAAUGUUCUCCUCUCGGAUGAGUUUGAACCUCAGGUAUUGAGUACUAGUGACUUAGAACUCGUAAAAUAUAUUAACAAACUCAUAACCAUUUGAAAUUUUUCUUGUGAGAAAAGCUUUCGGAUUUCGGGCUUUCGAUGUGGGGUUCAAACUCUUGUGGAUACACAAUACAAAGGGACGUGCUGGGGACGUUUGGAUACCUAGCUCCUGAGUACUUCAUGUAUGGAAAAGUCAGCGAUAAAGUCGAUGUUUAUGCCUUUGGUGUAGUUUUGUUUGAACUCAUAUCAGGAAGAACUACUAUAUCGUAUGAUAGCCCAAGAGGACAAGAGAGUUUGGUCAUGUGGGUAAGUGUUUGUUUUUUGGUUACUUGUAACACAAGAAACGUACACUGAAACAUAAAAAAGGAGAUUACUUGGGUUGCAGGCAAUACCGAUGAUUGAAAAAGGCGAUGCAAGAGAGCUCUUGGAUCCGAACAUUUCAGGGAGUUUAGAAGAGGCACAGUUUCAGAAAACGGUUCUUGCUGCUAGAUGUUGCCUUACAAGAGCAGCUACUCACCGUCCCAAUAUCAGAGAGGUUAUAACUGAUUUCAAGUGUUGGAUCCUCUGCUCUAGCCAUGAAUUGCACCAAGAUCUAACCAUUUAGUCUCGAUUUUUUUUUAAAUUUCUGCAGAUACUCAAGCUGCUAAGAGGAGAAGAUGAGGUAGAGAAAUGGGUGAAGAAAGUGGAAGAAGAUGAGGACUGUUUCGAUGACGAUGAGGUUUACCCAAAUUCGAACAAAGAUUUACACUUGAGCCUCGCCAUGCUGGGCAUUGAGGAUAAUGACUCGGUUUCAGUCGGCAGCUUGGAGAGAAGUAACCGUAGCAUAUUUUCUUCCUCUUCCUCGCAGGAGCUUCAGUCUUAAUUAGGGAGUGUGCUUAGUGUCUCGAGUUUUCUCAGAGAUAUCAAGCUGGAUAUAAGUACUCUGACUUGGCUUUUGCUACUACCAUUGCGGAAAAGAAAUGUUUUUCUUAAGAAAAAUCAUUGAAACUAUAAAUAAAAAUAUACUCAACCAGUUACAAAAUAGAUUAUAAAUAUGAUUAGUUAUACAAUUUUUGAUAAAUUCAAAAAUUACCCGAAAUAUAACAAUAUGUUAGAAACUGAAACAUCAAAAAUUCAUUAAAACAUCUCAUAUUUCACAACAGAAAAAGUAUAUUAGAUAUAUUAAUAGUCCUAAAAGAGGAUAUGUUCUACAAUGUCUUAUAUAUUACAAAAUCUCUAUAAAAUUAUUUGAGAUCUUAGUCUCUUAAGCUUCGUAGUCAUGUUAAUUACCACAAUAAUCAGUUACAUUAGGUAGUUUUAAGAAUUAAAAUUAUGUAAUUGUCACUAUUAACAUUGCUAUUUUAGUUUUUAUAAAUAACUUUUAUUUUAUUUUUCUAAAUAUAUAUAUAUAUAUAUAAGAAAAUAUUUCCAAAAUAAUCUGGGGUGUUUUUUUUUUUAAAGUCAGCAAUAUAUAAGUACUUGAUUAGUAAGCAUUAGUUUACAUAUAAUUACUUUUAAAAACUGUUGUAGUUUCUUCUAUCCUUAGUAUGAAACAACAUAUAUCAAGUUAUAUAAAUUUUUAUAAUAUAUAUUUAAAAUUAAGAAAAAUAAUCAAACUAAAUGAAAAAAAAAAACAAAACUAUUCACAUUUUAGCCUAAAUAUAUGAGAAAAACAGUUAUAAUUUAGAAAAAUUGUUGCAAUUCAAUAUGUUUAAACAUAAAUAAUUAACUGCUCUAAAUUUUGGUAUCUAAAUAUGUCAACUAAAAUAAUAAUAUAAUUUUAAAACAGUUUUUAUUUAAUUUAAUGCAUUUGUAUCAUAUUUAUGUUCUUAUGCACCAACAAAAUAUCUAGUUAUUUUGUAAAUAUUUAUAUACUCAGUGAGCCACCUGGUAAAAAUUUUAAAGAUGUAAAUCAAAGCUAAUUAUAUUCGUGGUUUUAUACCCUUUUUCACUUUAAAAUUACGUAAGUUAUGCAAGUCAACACAAGUAUUGUCAAAAAUCGUUUGUUUUCCAUAUGUGUAAUUUUGGGUAAUCAUGGCACCGAUAUCUAUACUAUUAAAAGAUAAGUCAUGACUUCUUUCAUGUGUGAUAUUUUAAAUAGACCAUUCCUAGAAAGUUGUUUACAUUAUUUUUUUGUAUUUUCCUAACAAUAUCCUAACAAGAUAUUUAAUUAUCUUUUUAUUCCAUCAAAAUAUUAUUAAUAAUGGAUUUUGAAAAUAUAUUUAUUCCAUCAAUAUAUAAUUAUAGGUGCAUAUAACCAUUUAUAAUCUACUUAAUAAUAAUAACAUUUAAUUAUUCUAGAGUUAAUACCUGCACAUGAUCUAAUUAAUAAUAAUAACAAUUAACAUUUAUUAUGCAAAUAAAAUAAUGUUAGAAUUUCACCAUGCAAAUAAUAAAAUCAAAUCAAAUAUUAAAAUCCUAACACUAAUGUAUUUUCAUAAUAAGUGUUAUUAUUAUUAAUUAUGUUAUACAUUAUACAUGUAUCAAUAUUUAUAUAGAUGUUGUGUUAACAAACAUGUAUUGAUAAAUAUAUAAUAUUUUUAAUAUAUAUAUAUACUGUAGUGAUGAAUUUUUCAUGCGUGAUUUUUUCAUUUGGAUUAUUCUUUAAAAUUUUAUCAAAUUUUACAUGAAUUAAUUAUAAUAUUUAUCUUUUUAAUUGAAUAACAAUAAAUACUUUUUAAGAAAGUUCUAAAAAUAUUUUUAAAAUAUUUUCGGAAUAAAUUUAAGUUUUAUAUCCAAAAGUAAUUAGUUUUAAUUUUAGCUAUCAUAAACUAUAAUUAGAAAUUAAAAUUUAUUUUAGUUUCGAUUUAUAUUGAAAAUGUAAAAUUAUAUAAAGUGUUAUAAUUAUAUAUUCACUGGUAAUAACAAUUUAAACUGAUUAAUUUUCAAAAAUAAAAUUUACAAAGAUUUUGUUAGAAAUAUUCAUUUCUAUUUCAAAUUAAAAGAAGAUAUUUUAUCCAACUUAGUGUAUUUAUCAAAUAUGAUAUUUACUACAAACAUAUUUUGAAGUACAAUGUAUUAUAGUUUUUCUUUAAAAUAAUGUUUUUACAGUAUCUUAAAAAAAUAUAUUUUCUACUGUAUAGAUCUAAUUUAAUUUACUUUCAUAUAAAUUUAAAAUAAAAAAGUAUGUAACGUAAUAUUGUUACAUAAUAAAGUUUUCAAAAUAAUUUUUGUUACAAAAAUACAAAAUUUAUAGUAAUAAUAUAUAAGCCACGUAAACAUAGCUAUUAUAGAAUUACAUAAUAUAUAACACUAAAUUAUAUUAAGUUAUUGGUAAAUUUUGUUAUAUAAACUAAAACGUUUCAGUAUAUAAAUAAAAAAAUUCCGCACGGUUGUACUGGUCAAGAUCUAGUAUAUAUUAAGAAAAGGAAAAAAAAAAUGUUGACCGUUUAGAGAAAAAUCUCUGCAACUUGUUCGUACGUCCAUGUCCUUGCGCCAUCUGUUAAUACGCUUCUUAUCAUCAAAUGCACUAGUGCCCUUUUCGUCUCUAGGGUUUCCUUUCCUAAUAUCAUCGCCUCUUUCACUCUUAUCGCCGAUUCUCCUCUCACGUUUAUCAGUUCCAGAUUAAUUGGAUGCUUGACUUUCAUCUGAAUCGUUUGAAUUUGUGUGUUUCCCUCUGUGAUUAGGUCUUGACUUGAUCGUGAAAGCUCGAGUCUUGUUUGGUUUCAAGCACAACUGUAUCCAGAAAGUGUCUUAAUUUUUGUUUCGUAAUAAGACCAAACAAAAGAGCAGAGUUUAAGAGGUUGCUGUAAUAAUGGAAGACGGUGAGCUCGAGUUUCCACCUAGCAGCAGUUCCAUGGAUUCUUUCCUGGAAGAGCUUCUCAAGGACUCUCAUGCUUGUACCCACACUCACACUUGUAACCCUCCCGGACCAGAGAACACACAUACACACACAUGUCUCCAUGUCCACACCAAGAUCCUUCCUGCUCCUCAGAGCGACGACAAAGAAACUACGGAUGACACGUCGGAGUCUUCAGGGAAGAAGAGCAAGAAGAGGCCUUCGGGGAACAGAGAAGCGGUUAGAAAGUAUAGAGAGAAGAAGAAGGCUAAAGCGGCUUCCUUGGAGGAUGAAGUGUUAAGGCUCAGGGCUGUGAAUAAUCAGCUGAUGAAGAGGCUGCAAGGUCAAGCUGCGCUGGAAGCCGAGGUUACGAGGCUUAAGUGUUUGCUUGUGGAUAUAAGAGGAAGGAUAGAAGGAGAGAUUGGUGCCUUCCCUUAUCAAAAACCGCAGCCUUUCUCGUAUAGGAUGCAGCCUUGCAAUAUGCCGUGCGAUGUUGACGACUUGUACUGUCUUCAGAAUGGGAACAGUGGAGAAGGUAUAUUGAUGAAUGGGCAAGGGCUAAAUGGUUGUGAGUUUGACCAGCUUCAAUGCUUGGGUGAUCAGAAUCUAGCUGGCUGUAGUAAUGGAAAUGGAACAUUCGAUGUGGAUGCAUCGGGUGCUAAUAAGAGUAAAGGUGAAACUCUAACACCUUAGGAUCUAUUUAGUAGAGGUACUUUUAAUACAGUUUUCUUUUAUGUUGUGAUCUCUUGAACUCGUGGUGUUUGCUCUUGUUUUGCAACAGGUGGGACAUGUGCAGCUAAAGCAGUUUGAAGUAUCAUCACCAAUCAUGUAGUACUAUUAAUUUUCACAAGGCUAUAGUUUUUGUUUUCCAAUAAGUAGUGAAGUUCAACUGCAUCACCUGCUUUCUUCAGGUCCCCCUUUGUGCUAUUAUCAUUUUUUAUAGUCUCUUUUUGUUUCUUCUCAUGUAAUUGUAUUUCCUUGUUGAGCUAGUAGCAAGACUUGUUAAUAUUCAAAUCGAAUUAUGCCAAGUGAUUUUGCCAUUUGGUUUUGUGUUUUAGUAGCUUCUUUCUUUAAGCUAUUAUGUUGUGAGAUUAUAAUGAUUCUUGAAUCUAACAAUAAGUAAGUUCAGUAUUAGCACAGCAACUGAACUGUUGCAGGCUCGGUUUUGGAGAUCUAGAGUCUAAUUUUAGCCCCAAAGAACAAUUUUGAAACGGAGAAUCCAAACAUGGUUACAUUACCAAACAGAGUUGUCUUGUCAUGCUGGUAAUAAUACAGACAAAGCUCGUCUUUUAGAAACUAUGUCUUGAGUAAUGGAGAGACUCCAGUAAUUUCUUAAUUUUUUCAUGACUGUUUGAUGUCCUCAUCGAUCUCAUCUUCAUCUUCAUCUCGAUAGAUGCUUUCCGCCAUUUGCCAGACCUGAAGACUGUUGUCUUCUGCUACACUUGCAAUGACCCAAGGCUCGUUUUUGUUCCAAGCAAAAUCUGAUAUCUUAGCCUUGUGGCCACCGUGAGAAAAGAGCAACUCUGGUGGACCAUCUUCUGCAUCCAACUCUAUCUCAAGCUGCUCUUCUCCAACCCUGUCAAAACAAAAGACGCCUUGCUCAACGUUGAUCAAUCUACAGAAUAAAAAAUUCUAUAUUCAGAGUUCUUCUGUAAUUGAGAUGAUGAUUGUACCUGUUCAGGUCCCAGACCAUCAGCCUUCUAUCUUCACCGGAAGAUGCAAGCACUGUUUCAUGGUUAGGAUCCCACUCCACUUGGAAAACCUCUCCCCUGUAAUCAGAAUAUUUCAUUUAAAUGGUGGAUUUUCACAGAAAACGGCACUCAGUGAACAUCUAUAAACCUUUGGUUUUUAAGACAAUAAUAUAGAUUGUGCAGGGAAUGUACAAAAAAUGUAAAAGAACAUACUCGUGGCUGCUCAAGACGUGCAAUGGCACAUUCAGCUUCCGGAGGUCAAACAAGGCAACAGUUGAGUCUGACGAAGCUGUUGCUAAAACCCAUUCGUUGAACGGAUUGAAAGACAAAUAGUUCACCUGAGAACACACAAUAAAGCAACUAAGCAUGACAUCUGGCGACCAUAACUACAGAACACACAAUUCCACUUCCAAAUUCUCACUCAAGUCAUUAGAUACUAAAGUAUGGGUUUUUACCUCUUUCUCGUGAACUUUCACUUGGUGUUGCAUUUGGUUUGUCCGCGUGUCCCAUAUCACCAAUCGACCAUCAUCACCAGCAGAACCAAAAAGGUUCUCGUUCUUCAUGUGCCACGCUACAUCUUCCACAGCGCAUUCAUGCCCCUAAACCCCAUAACAUGAUAGCAAAAUUAGAACCAGAAAAAAAAAUCACCGUCUUCUUGAAGCAAAACAGGAGUCCUGUUCCAACUUACCUCGUACACAAACAUUGCAUUCAGAACCUUAUCUUGCGGUGUAGCUGAAACAUCCCAAAGGCAUAUCUUCUUAUCCUGCGAACCACUCAGAAGAUAACCUUCCUUGAACGGACUCCAAGACAAUCCAUACCCUUCCAUGUCGUGCCCCACCAGCCUCAGAUCAGGAUCACAAUCACUAGUCUGAGGCUUCGAAGCGUGCUUGGCGUAAUCAAACAGAAACACCUCACACCCACUCGUCUUCGCACCGACAAGAGUUGGCUUUUGAGGCAUGCACCGCGCUCUGUUCACUUCUCCAUCGACACGUAUCUUCUGCCUAAUCUCCACCUACCAACAAAGAACACGAUUAGAGGAACUGAAGCUGAACAGAAACAGAGCACUCGUGAUGAAGACGAUGAGCUCAAGAGAUGUGAAAAUGAAUAUUAUAAUCUACCCGGUAUAAACCGGUUCUAACUAACCAAACCAACUGUAACUAUAUAACACUCUAAUAAAAACGUCGUUUCAUCGAACACAUGGUGCGCAUACAACACUUUAAGCGAAUCGAAUUACCUUAGGGACUAUGGGAUUUUGAUUUGUGCCGCCUAACCCUGGCUCGGCGUCGGGAGUUGGGAUGACGGCGUCGGCGACCAUGAGGAAAUCUUGAGCGUCGCCGGAAGUGUGGGUUCCGAGGAUGAGCUUGUGGACGCCGAAGUAAGGAUCCGCCGCGUAAGGGGAAGGGGGAGAUGGGACCCAGUGGACGGUGAGAGAGGGCCACUCGAGAGGGUUAGAGAUCAUAAGAUCGUAGAGGAAUGGUGUGUUCUUCUUCCAUAUAGAGAAAUCCUCCUCUACCUGAUCCAUUCCAGCAUCCUCCUUACUACCUUCAUCUGCCAUCUCUCUCUCUCUCUAACCCAUUCGUUGAACGGAUUGAAAGACAAAUAGUUCACCUGAGAACACACAAUAAAGCAACUAAGCAUGACAUCUGGCGACCAUAACUACAGAACACACAAUUCCACUUCCAAAUUCUCACUCAAGUCAUUAGAUACUAAAGUAUGGGUUUUUACCUCUUUCUCGUGAACUUUCACUUGGUGUUGCAUUUGGUUUGUCCGCGUGUCCCAUAUCACCAAUCGACCAUCAUCACCAGCAGAACCAAAAAGGUUCUCGUUCUUCAUGUGCCACGCUACAUCUUCCACAGCGCAUUCAUGCCCCUAAACCCCAUAACAUGAUAGCAAAAUUAGAACCAGAAAAAAAAAUCACCGUCUUCUUGAAGCAAAACAGGAGUCCUGUUCCAACUUACCUCGUACACAAACAUUGCAUUCAGAACCUUAUCUUGCGGUGUAGCUGAAACAUCCCAAAGGCAUAUCUUCUUAUCCUGCGAACCACUCAGAAGAUAACCUUCCUUGAACGGACUCCAAGACAAUCCAUACCCUUCCAUGUCGUGCCCCACCAGCCUCAGAUCAGGAUCACAAUCACUAGUCUGAGGCUUCGAAGCGUGCUUGGCGUAAUCAAACAGAAACACCUCACACCCACUCGUCUUCGCACCGACAAGAGUUGGCUUUUGAGGCAUGCACCGCGCUCUGUUCACUUCUCCAUCGACACGUAUCUUCUGCCUAAUCUCCACCUACCAACAAAGAACACGAUUAGAGGAACUGAAGCUGAACAGAAACAGAGCACUCGUGAUGAAGACGAUGAGCUCAAGAGAUGUGAAAAUGAAUAUUAUAAUCUACCCGGUAUAAACCGGUUCUAACUAACCAAACCAACUGUAACUAUAUAACACUCUAAUAAAAACGUCGUUUCAUCGAACACAUGGUGCGCAUACAACACUUUAAGCGAAUCGAAUUACCUUAGGGACUAUGGGAUUUUGAUUUGUGCCGCCUAACCCUGGCUCGGCGUCGGGAGUUGGGAUGACGGCGUCGGCGACCAUGAGGAAAUCUUGAGCGUCGCCGGAAGUGUGGGUUCCGAGGAUGAGCUUGUGGACGCCGAAGUGAGGAUCCGCCGCGUAAGGAGAGGGGGGAGAUGGGACCCAGUGGACGGUGAGGGAGGGCCACUCGAGAGGGUUGGAGAUCAUGAGGUCGUAGAGGAACGGUGUGUUCUUCUUCCAUAUAGAGAAAUCCUCCUCUACCUGAUCCAUUCCAGCAUCCUCCUUACUACCUUCUUCUGCCAUCUCUCUCUCUCUCUUCUCUCAGUCUAGAAUCGACUUCUCUCUCUCUUUGGUCUGUGUGUUGAGGGUUUUCACUGUUCUAUUUUCCCGCCAAUUUGCGAUGUACAUGCGAGUUGUUUGAGCUUUCUACAAAUGAACGAUGUGCCGUUUUUUAGGUUGAAGACCAGCAUGCAUGUGUUUUAUAUUAGUAGGCCUAUUAUCGAGUUAUGAAUUUAUGGGCUUUCAUAGUCAAGACCCACUCUUAAUGCACACACUUAGACCCAUUUAAACUAUUGUUGAUUUAAUUUUUAAUUAUUUUAACUUUAUAGUUUUUUAACAAAUAUUAAAUGAAACAAAUAAAAAUUUUAAACUGAUUUUUAUUAUAUAAACGCAAAUCAAAUUGUUCUGGUAAAAAUGCAAUAUCGAAUUUUCUUCUAAAACCGCAAAAUUUGAUUUAAGUUUAAUGGGUUUGUAACAUUGCCAUAUGAAUGUUUUUCUUUCACACUUCAAAGUGAAUCAUGUCUUUCAAGUUCACAUUUUGCUGUUUGUAUUUGUUUAUGACAACUACUUGACAUUGAACUUCUUCUGCUCUAAGUUUAGUGCCUUUGUAAUGACAUAACAAUGCAGUAUCUAGUAGAUUUGAUAUGGUCUUUCAUUAUUCAAAUAAAUACUCCAUCAUUAAUCAUUCUAGUUUUUAAAGUUAUUAUUGAAUAGUACAAGUUGAAUACAAAGAUGAAUCGUAAUAAUACAAUGUGCCGAGUACCUCAUAUAUCGUCUCGAAAUUUCAAAUCAUUGGAUAGCAAUUCAAGAACUGAGUUAACUAUAACUUCAGGAGUGAGAACCACACUGACUUUGAAUAUCUUUUCACAGUCAUCAGCUUCAAGCAGAUCAAACUGAGACCGGAGAAGAGUGAGAGGCAUGAAAUGUUCUCCCUCCGAAGCUCUCUUCUGCAACCGAGCAGCGAUCACCUCUGCAUUACCUUCCAGUAACACAAACUUCACCUUGCAACUCGAAUAGCUUCCCGGUUUGUAAUCAGGAUCGGAGCCUCUCAAGAUUUCUCUGUACUGUUUUCUCAACGAAGAACACGCGAGAACAACGGUUUCUCCAUUGAGCAAACGUUCUCGCAAACUCUCUUGUAUUUUUUCGAGCCAUGGCAUCCGGUCUUCAUCCGAAAGAGCAAUGCCUUGGCGCAUCUUAUCUGGGUUGAACCAUGAGCAAGGUGUUGUUAACACAUGAAAACUUUGUUUUGUCAAAAUUCUUUGAUUCUUUUACCUCUGUUUGAUGAAGAAUGGAAAUCAUCAGCGUCUAGAAAAUCACAAGAUAGUGCUGUUCCCAACAACUUGCCUAUGGUACUAGAAAGGUCAAGAAAAAUUUGUUCAAUCACAAGUCACAACAUGGUAAGAGAGGACUAACAAAAAUAAAAUAAAAUAAGAACUAACGAUUUGCCUGCUCCGCUUACGCCCAUAAUCACAAUGACUUUGCCUGUUACUAUUGGCACACAAGAAGAAUUAGUGAAAGACGUAUGAGAACAUUGAUAAGAACAUGUUAAAGCUUACCGUCAUUGUUUGUCGACAUCUCUGAUCAAAACAGAGUUUGGUGAUUUUUGAAAGAACCAAUCUGCGAGCAAGAAAAACAAAAUAUGUAUAUCUAUAGUUCAGAUAAUCUUUUAGCAAGAAAACAAAACAACAUGUCUCUCUUGAUAGAACUAUACAUCUUUUCUUGGUGAACAUUAUUAAACCAUUAAAAUAUCUAAAGCUCUUAAUCUUAGCUUAUCAGUUAUAACAAACGUUUGACGUUGAUGUUGAGUCACAUGAUUUGGGUCUCAACAGUGUCCUUAGAGGAAGGAGUACAUGACCAUUCAAAAGAAUGCUGGUGUUUCAUAAGUAAGUCAAAAAGUCAAGAAGAGAAUAGAUACACAGCAA